UGCCCGGUGCUCGAAGGUUAAUUGAUGGGGUUAGCAUUAGCGAAGCUCUUGAUCGAAGACCGAGUAAACGGCUGCCGUAACUAAACAGGUCCUAAGGUAGCGAAAUUCCUUGUCGGUUAAAUACCGACCUGCAUGAAUGGCGUAACGAGAUGGGAGCUGUCUCUAAGAGGGAUCCAGUGAAAUUGUAGUGGAGGUGAACAUUCCUGCUACCCGCGGCAAGACGGAAAGACACCGUG
This 236-nucleotide ribosomal RNA is filed under the name Campylobacter coli. RNAcentral describes it as "partial 23S ribosomal RNA". It matches the Rfam family "Bacterial large subunit ribosomal RNA", at positions 1860 to 2095 of the family's 2925-position model. The record is from RNAcentral. Lineage: Bacteria; Pseudomonadati; Campylobacterota; Epsilonproteobacteria; Campylobacterales; Campylobacteraceae.